UACGUAGGGUGCAAGCGUUAAUCGGAAUUACUGGGCGUAAAGCGUGCGCAGGCGGUUAUGUAAGACAGAUGUGAAAUCCCCGGGCUCAACCUGGGAACUGCAUUUGUGACUGCAUAGCUAGAGUACGGUAGAGGGGGAUGGAAUUCCGCGUGUAGCAGUGAAAUGCGUAGAUAUCUGGAGGAACACCGGUGGCGAAGGCGGCGUCCUGGACCAACACUGACACUGAGGAGCGAAAGCCAGGGGAGCAAACGGG
RNAcentral lists this ribosomal RNA (253 nucleotides) under uncultured bacterium. Its description in RNAcentral is "partial 16S ribosomal RNA". It matches the Rfam family "Bacterial small subunit ribosomal RNA", at positions 524 to 776 of the family's 1533-position model. The record is from RNAcentral.